This 908-nucleotide ribosomal RNA is filed under the name uncultured bacterium. RNAcentral's name for it is "bacterial SSU rRNA". It matches the Rfam family "Bacterial small subunit ribosomal RNA", at positions 60 to 999 of the family's 1533-position model. The record is from RNAcentral.
AGUCGACGAUGAAUCUUCUAGCUUGCUAGAAGUGGAUUAGUGGCGCACGGGUGAGUAAUGCAUAGGUUAUGUGCCCUUUAGUCUGGGAUAGCCACUGGAAACGGUGAUUAAUACUGGAUACUCCCUACGGGGGAAAGUUUUUCGCUAAAGGAUCAGCCUAUGUCCUAUCAGCUUGUUGGUGAGGUAAUGGCUCACCAAGGCUAUGACGGGUAUCCGGCCUGAGAGGGUGAUCGGACACACUGGAACUGAGACACGGUCCAGACUCCUACGGGAGGCAGCAGUAGGGAAUAUUGCUCAAUGGGGGAAACCCUGAAGCAGCAACGCCGCGUGGAGGAUGAAGGUUUUAGGAUUGUAAACUCCUUUUGUUAGAGAAGAUUAUGACGGUAUCUAACGAAUAAGCACCGGCUAACUCCGUGCCAGCAGCCGCGGUAAUACGGAGGGUGCAAGCGUUACUCGGAAUCACUGGGCGUAAAGAGUGCGUAGGCGGGGUAAUAAGUCAGAUGUGAAAUCCUGUAGCUUAACUACAGAACUGCAUUUGAAACUGUUACUCUGGAGUGUGGGAGAGGUAGGUGGAAUUCUUGGUGUAGGGGUAAAAUCCGUAGAGAUCAAGAGGAAUACUCAUUGCGAAGGCGACCUGCUGGAACAUUACUGACGCUGAUGCACGAAAGCGUGGGGAGCAAACAGGAUUAGAUACCCUGGUAGUCCACGCCCUAAACGAUGGAUGCUAGUUGUUGCCUUGCUUGUCAGGGCAGUAAUGCAGCUAACGCAUUAAGCAUCCCGCCUGGGGAGUACGGUCGCAAGAUUAAAACUCAAAGGAAUAGACGGGGACCCGCACAAGCGGUGGAGCAUGUGGUUUAAUUCGAAGAUACGCGAAGAACCUUACCUAGGCUUGACAUUGAUAGAAUCUA